This is a long non-coding RNA of Cervus elaphus (red deer), 817 nucleotides long. RefSeq lists it as uncharacterized. The transcript has 4 exons. Lineage: Eukaryota; Metazoa; Chordata; Mammalia; Artiodactyla; Cervidae. The record is from RefSeq and is a predicted model, not a curated record.
UGCAGACAGGCAGCGGGCGUGCUGACCGCGGGCACUGCCGUGCUCACAGGUGCCUUGCGCUCACAGGGGAUGCUCUGAGUGGUCCAGGUUCAAAGUGAGCAGCCGUGAAGCUCUCCUGGGAGACCGAGCCAGCGGAACCUGUGUAAGAGCCGGACAUGUGGAGAUGAGUAGAAUCUGCCUGUGGUCUUCAAGGAACACGCUAUCCGUUGGAAUAGUAUAGGUCCUGCUUGUGCUCAGGCGCUGACAUCCCUGCCAACACACAAAGCUCCGCGUCACACAGAAGCAGGAGGGCGCGGACUCUGGAGAAAUAUGUUGAAAUUUUUUUAAAAAAUGCUGUGAGAUUGCUGUAUGGACUUCCUGACUAAGAAUACAAAAAUGAAAACUCAUUUAUUAUCUGCAUUGUUCUGCCUUAAAAAUCAAUGAAAGCACCCACCAGAAUGUUAUUUAAAUUGAAAUACGACCAUGCAUUGAAAGUCAGCGCAGCUUGAAGGACACGUGACCUUCUCACGGCCGUUCGUGUCUCGCUCCGGCCGAUGACCUGUGUGUCUCUGUUGAGAGACCCCAGCCCAACGGCCCCGUGCCUGCGCUGCCUCCAUCCCGGGGGCACCACUGGGGAUGCUGGCAGCAUCGGUCCUGCUGUUCUGGAAGGGCUAACGUUGUGCAUUAACAUUAAACAUAAACGUGUGUGUAAGUUUUAAGCACGUGCGUGCGUGCGUGCUUCAGUCGUGUCCACUUCUUUGCAACCGCAUGGACUGUAGCCCCCCAGGCCCCUCUGUCCACGGGAUUCUCCAGGCAGGAAUACUGGGGUGGUUGCCAC